GAUGAACGCUGGCUACAGGCUUAACACAUGCAAGUCGCGGGGCAGCAUGGGGGUUGCUUGCGACCCCUGAUGGCGACCGGCGCACGGGUGAGUAACGCGAAUCCCACCUUCCCUUCACCACGGGAUAACCCGGCGAAAGUCGUACUAAUACCGUGUGUUGUCCCUUUACGGCAUCGGGUUUUGACGAAGGUCUUGGCGGUGUAAGGAAGGGGAUGCGUCCGAUUCGCUUGACGGCGGGGUAACGGCCCUCCGUGGCUAUGAUCGGUAAGGGUUCUGAGGGGAAGGUCCCCCACAAGGGAACUGGGACACGGGGCAGACGAAUACGGGAGGCAGCAGUGAGGAAUGUUGGUCAAUGGGAGUAAGCCUGAACCAGCCAAGUAGCGUGCAGGAAGACUGCGUGAGGGGUUGUAAACUGCUUUUAUGCGGGGAUAAAGUGGCUAAGGUGUGGGCUAUUGAAGGUACCGCAUGAAUAAGGACCGGCUAAUUACGUG
RNAcentral lists this ribosomal RNA (491 nucleotides) under uncultured bacterium. Its description in RNAcentral is "partial 16S ribosomal RNA". It matches the Rfam family "Bacterial small subunit ribosomal RNA", at positions 28 to 507 of the family's 1533-position model. The record is from RNAcentral.